RNAcentral lists this transfer RNA (71 nucleotides) under Marmota monax (woodchuck). Its description in RNAcentral is "tRNA.Thr". Lineage: Eukaryota; Metazoa; Chordata; Mammalia; Rodentia; Sciuridae. The record is from RNAcentral.
GGUGUGUAGCUCUGUGGUACAGUGCUUGCCUAGUAUGUUUGAGAUCCUGGAUUUGAUUCCCAGCACUACCA